This 253-nucleotide ribosomal RNA is filed under the name uncultured bacterium. RNAcentral describes it as "partial 16S ribosomal RNA". It matches the Rfam family "Bacterial small subunit ribosomal RNA", at positions 524 to 776 of the family's 1533-position model. The record is from RNAcentral.
UACGUAGGGUGCAGGCGUUAAUCGGAAUUACUGGGCGUAAAGCGUGCGCAGGCGGUUUCUUAAGUCAGAUGUGAAAGCCCCGGGCUUAACCUGGGAACUGCGUUUGAAACUGGGAGACUUGAGUGUGGCAGAGGGGGGUGGAAUUCCACGUGUAGCAGUGAAAUGCGUAGAUAUGUGGAGGAAUACCGAUGGCGAAGGCAGCCCCCUGGGAUAACACUGACGCUCAUGCACGAAAGCGUGGGGAGCAAACAGG